This is a long non-coding RNA of Pundamilia nyererei, 257 nucleotides long. RefSeq lists it as uncharacterized. Lineage: Eukaryota; Metazoa; Chordata; Actinopteri; Cichliformes; Cichlidae. The record is from RefSeq and is a predicted model, not a curated record. The transcript is spliced from 3 exons.
UUACGGUCCGUUAACACCGAGCAGCCGAGCCCAAGAGGACGAAGCAAGUGCAGGCACCUGCGUGGAGCACCGUUGCCAUACUGCUCGCUGGGCUCGCCGUUUUUUUUCACUCUGUAACCAGAGACUGCAGCAGUUGGUGCCGCGCCUCUUUGCCAUAGUUGCUGAACAGCAAAGGAAGCAGCUGGUAGAUGCAGCUCAGAGGUAUGCCCAGUGUCCAGGAAAAGCAUCAUGCUGUGUGUUUUCCCCGCCUGUGGAGG